GCGCGUCACUCCCGAGUGAAUCUCAUGUCGUCUUAGCUUCCGUUCCAGUUAGUUUAGGCAUUCAAGCAUUCCUGAAGUCAGUGAAGUGACUAGCUCAUAUUAUCCUUCACUGUGAGACCGACUAACACACAGAACCUGUCAUUUUUACCGAGUUUGUAACAUAAAGACCCGGGCGUGGCAAAGGGGACGCAGCAAAUCGGAAGGUGCACGUGUAAGUUUCUGCACUAGGUGUUGGAUUGUAACGAUGUGGACUAACAUCAUAGCCGUGACGGUAGCCGUGGUGGGAGUUUUAUACUGGAGAUCACAGCGCGUGGAACAGUUUAUCAUACAGGAGAAUCCCGAUGAACGCUACGAUUACGUCAUAGUGGGAGCGGGUAGCGCUGG
Molecule: long non-coding RNA, 384 nt
Organism: Priapulus caudatus
Lineage: Eukaryota; Metazoa; Priapulida; Priapulimorpha; Priapulimorphida; Priapulidae
Exons: 3
Source: RefSeq, a predicted model, not a curated record